CCCUAAGCAUACGUCUAAAAUAUGAACCUGAAUAACAUCUGCUGCAUUACAAAAUUAACAUACGUGAAAGAAGCAUGCCAUCAAGGCAUAUGUACGUAUACAGACAGAAUACAGUGGGCGAGCCGGCAAGGCUGCUAUAGACAACUAUACAUCAAAAACUGAAAGCCGACAAGGCCACAUAUAACCCAACUAGACAUACUGUCUACAGACCUCUAACUGAAACAUAACUAUACAAAGACAGGACUGAGCCAUGUCAUACUCAUAUACAUAUAUAUGUACAAACGUAUCGUACCAAUAUCAAAAGUAGCUCCGGAUCAAAUGGAGCAUGCCAACUCUCGCUGAUCAGGGAUCCUAAGAAGGAGGACCGUCAGCUUGACUACCUGCACCUGCGGGCAUGAAACGCAGGCCCCGUGAAAUAGGGCGUCUGUACGAAAAAUGUACUGAGUAUGUAAGGCAUGGAAAUUAGUACGUAAUAGACAUAGAUGAAACAUGGAAUACUGAAACACAUCUUUAAAUCUGAAUAACUUUGUAUAUUUUGAAACGUUUAUAACAUCAUGCACGUGCGUGUAAAUGUCAAGCCAUGCAUAGGUAUGGAUUUACAUAAUAUUAUCAGCCUCUGAGGGCAUCCCAUCACAUCAUAUCGGCCACUGUGGGAAAAGUCACAAUCGUAUACCAGCUGAUCAGGUGGUGGUGCGUAUAUAACGCCAUAACCAUUCCCAUAUCCCAUAUACAUAUAUAUAUACACAUACAUAUAUACGCGUAUAUAACGCCGUUUGAAUACAUACAUAUAUAUGCGUAUAUAACGCCAUUUGAAUACAUACCCAUAUAUGCGUAUAUAACGCCGUUUGAAUCAUAUUUCAGCCACUGUGGGCAACAUCAUCAUCAUAUAUCAGCUGAUCAGGUGGUGGUGCGUAUAUAACACCGUAACCUUUUCUCAUAUCCCAUAUACAUAUAUUUACAUAUAUACGCAUAUAUAACGCCAUCUGGUCAUGGGUCAAUGCACAUGUAUAAAUGAGUAAAAUGCAUGAAAAUACAUAAUAAUCUCGAUAUUCCUUCCGGAUAAACUUUUCCAGCUGCGUAUUAUUCUGAGACCCAUGAACAGAAGAUAAUAAUAAUUCUCAUGGGGAAUCAAGAAUAUAGACACCCCUACUAUUUCUAUGAAUAGAAUAAUUUAUAGAAAUCGUGUAUUUGCUCGUUUCUUUCGUAUAAUCUGGACCAUGCCAAAAGAAAGAAGGGAGGGUCUUAACAUACCUGGAGUAGGAAAAACUCCGUAUAAUAUCCCGUUGGAAAACCUUUUGAUUGAAUUUAGAACUCAAAAAAUUGGAUUAAGCUCCUGCUUUUUUUUUGAAACAAAAUUUGCUUCUGCUUCAACGUUUCCUUUGCGCUAAAUUUGAAAUGAAAUUUGCUUCUGAAUUUGGCGUUGAAAUGCUUGAACCAAGAAAGAAAGGUUCUUUAGGAAUUUUUGGUUAUUUCUUGGUUCUGGCAGCGUUAGACUCUUUUUGUUUGAAAGCCAACUUCUAAUUUUCUAAUUGUAGUAAAUAUGACUUUAUUUUGGAAUGAAGGCUUCUAACGUUGAAGUCUUGCUUUUGAACUUACCCUUUCUUGAUUCCAAGCCAAUGUAAUGAAAUGAGCCAAAGACUCUUAAUGUAGCUAGGGGC
This 1658-nucleotide long non-coding RNA is filed under the name Nicotiana tabacum (common tobacco). Its description in RNAcentral is "long non-coding RNA (NTAB_LNC012646)". Lineage: Eukaryota; Viridiplantae; Streptophyta; Magnoliopsida; Solanales; Solanaceae. The record is from RNAcentral.